RNAcentral lists this ribosomal RNA (532 nucleotides) under uncultured Bacteroidota bacterium. Its description in RNAcentral is "bacterial SSU rRNA". It matches the Rfam family "Bacterial small subunit ribosomal RNA", at positions 224 to 753 of the family's 1533-position model. The record is from RNAcentral. Lineage: Bacteria; Pseudomonadati; Bacteroidota.
GAUGAGCAUGCGUCCCAUUAGCUAGUUGGUAAGGUAACGGCUUACCAAGGCUACGAUGGGUAGGGGUCCUGAGAGGGAGAUCCCCCACACUGGUACUGAGACACGGACCAGACUCCUACGGGAGGCCGCAGUGAGGAAUAUUGGACAAUGGGCGCAAGCCUGAUCCAGCCAUGCCGCGUGCAGGAUGACGGUCCUAUGGAUUGUAAACUGCUUUUAUACAGGAAGAAACCCUGGUUCGUGAACCAGCUUGACGGUACUGUAAGAAUAAGGAUCGGCUAACUCCGUGCCAGCAGCCGCGGUAAUACGGAGGAUCCAAGCGUUAUCCGGAAUCAUUGGGUUUAAAGGGUCCGUAGGCGGUUUAGUAAGUCAGUGGUGAAAGCCCAUCGCUCAACGGUGGAACGGCCAUUGAUACUGCUAAACUUGAAUUAUUAGGAAGUAACUAGAAUAUGUAGUGUAGCGGUGAAAUGCUUAGAGAUUACAUGGAAUACCAAUUGCGAAGGCAGGUUACUACUAAUUGAUUGACGCUGAUGGA